Molecule: long non-coding RNA, 1904 nt
Organism: Gadus morhua (Atlantic cod)
Lineage: Eukaryota; Metazoa; Chordata; Actinopteri; Gadiformes; Gadidae
Exons: 4
Source: RefSeq, a predicted model, not a curated record
UUGUUGUCUUGAAGGCGGACGCACGUGCAUACCAGACACACACUGGGAUAGAUGCACACUUUCCAAUCGAAAAAUGGCGGAAGAGACUGAGACUGCCUAUUCCAAUUAAAAAGGUGAGAAGGUGUGAGUACAAGAAAGACUGAGAAAAUGAAUAUUUGUGGCUGAAAGGUGUUGAGGGGGAUACCGAGAGGGCUUUUUGUGACCUUUGCAAAACGUCCUUCUCAAUCGGACAUGGAGGGGAAUACGAUGUCAAACGACACAGACUCACGGAGACUCACAAGAAACGUGUCCAACAGAAAGAGACCUAAAAACGACUUUCUAGCUGACAAAGUGACUGCUGCAGAGGUGACGAGUGUCUAUCACACUGUCCAACACGCUACAUCAUAUUGAGCAGGAGAUUGUGGCGCAAAGCUAGCCACAACGAUUUAUCCAGACUCGGACAUUGCCGAGAGGAUGGCCUGUGGUCGGACGAAGGCAGAAGCCAUUGUCACGGAUGUACUUGCCCCUGCCUCCGUCAAAGAUUGCUUGAAGGUCCUCAGAAGACCACUGAAUGAGCAACGAGAGGCAACAACCAAAGGUCACUGAAAUUGCAUUCGUUAGCUAACAUAAUGCUGCUCAUCCGUGCCUUCGUGAAACCAGGCUCUGUGUAUCCUUACAUGAUUGUGAGCAACAUUUCACUAUUCGUUAUCUCCCAAACUAAACAAACAAAACAACUAUAAUUUUUGAAAAGGUAUAAAUAUUUCUAUAGAUAAUAUUUAUAUAAAAUCAAUAAUGAUCAAAACAGUAAAGCAGUAUCUUGUAUUUUUUUAUAAUAUCUGUUUUUAAAGAAUCUCUUUUAAGUUCACCCCAUCGUGUGUGUGUCUCCACAGCCCACACGCCAUUCUUCUCAGUGGCUUCAGACGCCUCCAAUCAUGGGACCACCAAGCUCUUCCCACUGUCAGUGCGUUACUGGACGCCAGACUUGGGAGUGCAGACGAAAGUCCUUGAUUUCUAUGAUGACAGUGAUGAAACAUCUGCCGCGAUCCACAACCAGAUAGUCACCAAGCUGGAAGAAAACGGACUGGGACUAGACAUGAUAUCUGCGUAUUCCGCUGACCAUGCUAGUGUGAAUUACGGGAGAUUCAACUCUGUCUUCCAGAAACUGAAAGAGAACAACAAUUGCAUUUUGAAGGCAAACUGUGUGGCCCACAUCGUUCAUAAUAGUGCAAAACACGCAGGAGACUUAAGUCAAUUCACACCUUUGUUGAGAUAGAGUACCAGUCCCUGCUUAGAAAUGUGCCCACAAGAUGGCUGAGCUUGUGGACUGCAGUGAAGAGGCUUCACGACAGCUGGGCUCCUAUCAAGACCUACUUUCUCUCAUUGGGAGAGGACGGGUGCCCAAAGUCACUAUGGCGGCUGUUCAAGGAUGACCAGGAUGGUUUACCUGUCCUUCCUCAGCAAUGCGCUGAAGAUUUUCCACGACACUGUGCUGGUGCUGGAGCGAGAAGAUGGGACUGUCUGUGAGCUCUACGAUAUGAUGUUCUGAUAUGAGGACUUCUACACGUAUGUAGUGAAAGAGAAGGUUCUCCUCAAUGCUGCACGCUCCAACAAGAAAUACAAGUUCAAGAAGAAACCUGAAGAUGCUGGUGAAGCGGUUUGAGUCCUAAAGGUGUCCCCAAAGUCCUAAAGAUGUCACCAGAACACUGAACAGUUUUUUUUCCUGCGCCUGCCUUUACUAACAUGCAAGUUCACCAUCCUUCCUCCCCCUUCUCAUUCCGUGAACGUCUGGAGUCGUGAGUUAAGACUGUUUUUAACUGUUCCUGUGGUGUUGAGCAACUACAAUUCCUGUUCAUCCUAUAAUUUUACGUUAUAAUUUAUUUAAAGUGAAUAAAUUGUAAUGAAAAAUAAAUACAAUUAAAUAGCUA